RNAcentral lists this ribosomal RNA (501 nucleotides) under uncultured bacterium. RNAcentral's name for it is "partial 16S ribosomal RNA". It matches the Rfam family "Bacterial small subunit ribosomal RNA", at positions 30 to 523 of the family's 1533-position model. The record is from RNAcentral.
AUUGAACGCUGGCGGCAGGCUUAACACAUGCAAGUCGAGCGGGGAAGGGUAGCUUGCUACCUAACCUAGCGGCGGACGGGUGAGUAAUGCUUAGGAAUCUGCCAUUUAGUGGGGGACAACAUUCCGAAAGGAAUGCUAAUACCGCAUACGUCCUACGGGAGAAAGCAGGGGAUCUUCGGACCUUGCGCUAAAUGAUGAGCCUAAGUCGGAUUAGCUAGUUGGUGGGGUAAAGGCCUACCAAGGCGACGAUCUGUAGCGGGUCUGAGAGGAUGGUCCGCCACACUGGGACUGAGACACGGCCCAGACUCCUACGGGAGGCAGUAGUGGGGAAUAUUGGACAAUGGGCGGAAGCCUGAUCCAGCCAUGCCGCGUGUGUGAAGAAGGCCUUAUGGUUGUAAAGCACUUUAAGCGAGGAGGAGGCUACUAGUAUUAAUACUACUGGAUAGUGGACGUUACUCGCAGAAUAAGCACCGGCUAACUCUGUGCCAGCCGCCGCCGUAA